AUUGAACGCUGGCGGCAGGCCUAACACAUGCAAGUCGAGCGGAUGAGUGGAGCUUGCUCCAUGAUUCAGCGGCGGACGGGUGAGUAAUGCCUAGGAAUCUGCCUGGUAGUGGGGGACAACGUUUCGAAAGGAACGCUAAUACCGCAUACGUCCUACGGGAGAAAGCAGGGGACCUUCGGGCCUUGCGCUAUCAGAUGAGCCUAGGUCGGAUUAGCUAGUAGGUGAGGUAAUGGCUCACCUAGGCGACGAUCCGUAACUGGUCUGAGAGGAUGAUCAGUCACACUGGAACUGAGACACGGUCCAGACUCCUACGGGAGGCAGCAGUGGGGAAUAUUGGACAAUGGACGAAAGCCUGAUCCAGCCAUGCCGCGUGUGUGAAGAAGGUCUUCGGAUUGUAAAGCACUUUAAGUUGGGAGGAAGGGCAGUAAGUUAAUACCUUGCUGUUUUGACGUUACCAACAGAAUAAGCACCGGCUAACUUCGUG
RNAcentral lists this ribosomal RNA (484 nucleotides) under uncultured bacterium. RNAcentral's name for it is "bacterial SSU rRNA". It matches the Rfam family "Bacterial small subunit ribosomal RNA", at positions 30 to 507 of the family's 1533-position model. The record is from RNAcentral.